RNAcentral lists this ribosomal RNA (433 nucleotides) under uncultured bacterium. RNAcentral describes it as "partial 16S ribosomal RNA". It matches the Rfam family "Bacterial small subunit ribosomal RNA", at positions 29 to 507 of the family's 1533-position model. The record is from RNAcentral.
AACGAACGCUGGCGGCAUGCCUAACACAUGCAAGUCGAACGAGACCUUCGGGCCUAGUGGCGCACGGGUGCGUAACGCGUGGGAACCUGCCCUUAGGUUCGGAAUAACUCCCCGAAAGGGGUGCUAAUACCGGAUAAUGUCUUCGGACCAAAGAUUUAUCGCCUUUGGAUGGGCCCGCGUUGGAUUAGCUAGUUGGUAGGGUAAAAGCCUACCAAGGCGACGAUCCAUAGCUGGUCUGAGAGGAUGAUCAGCCACACUGGGACUGAGACACGGCCCAGACCCCUACGGGAGGCAGCAGUGGGGAAUAUUGGACAAUGGGCGAAAGCCUGAUCCAGCAAUGCCGCGUGAGUGAUGAAGGCCUUAGGGUUGUAAAGCUCUUUUACCCGGGAUGAUAAUGACAGUACCGGGAGAAUAAGCGCCGGCUAACUCCGUG